GCCCGCCUACCAGCCCGGGGUGCCGCCGCCGCGCAACUACGCCAAGUGCACCAACUACGUCCGCCUCAAUCCACGUGCACGGCUACCCUAGUAAGGAGCACAACGCUGCCUGCCAUUCGUAGAGGAGUGUGGCGAGCGUGUGCUAGCGACCGAGAGACUUAUCGUGUGGUAGUGACAAUGUGCAGAACAAAAUACUUGUGUGUAGCGAAGUGGCCAUGAGUGAGGUAAAAGAUAGAACGGUGCUAAGUGCAGAAUAAGACACUAACUUAUAGAUUGUCCUGUUACAUGUAGAUACCUUUUAUUUUUUAAAAUUCUGACUACUUUUUAAGAUGAGACUUAGCAACAAAAUAAUUGUAGUUUAAAACAUAUAAUGAAAAUAAUAAUAAUAGGUUUUAUUUUGAAAAACACACGUAUCGAGCUUAUGUUAUAAUGUGUGUGUGCUUUGCUGUAUAAAGCUGUUGAGUAAGUUACAAAAACUAAACAAAUCAAUAAGGGUCAAUUUAUACUAGCGCAGAGUCGAAGAAAUCGAAGCGAAUUAUCAAAACUGACUAGAAAAAACUUCAACCUUAACUUCAAAGCGUUAACGCACUUUAUUACUUCUGAGGAUUUAAAAAGACGCGCAUUCGCGCGACUUCGCGUGAAUGCGUCCGACCAUGGCCGAUUGGUCUCGCAGCAGUAAUGUGUGCGUUACGCUCUGGAGUUAAGAUUUUUCCUGUGCUCAG
Long non-coding RNA from Aricia agestis (brown argus), 722 nucleotides. RefSeq lists it as uncharacterized. NCBI's taxonomy places the organism in Eukaryota, Metazoa, Arthropoda, Insecta, Lepidoptera, Lycaenidae. The transcript is spliced from 3 exons. The record is from RefSeq and is a predicted model, not a curated record.